CCUACGGGAGGCAGCAGUGAGGAAUAUUGGUCAAUGGCCGUAAGGCUGAACCAGCCAAGUCGCGUGAAGGAAGAAGGAUCUAUGGUUUGUAAACUUCUUUUAUAGGGGAAUAAAGGUAUCCACGUGUGGAUAUUUGCAUGUACCCUAUGAAUAAGCAUCGGCUAACUCCGUGCCAGCAGCCGCGGUAAUACGGAGGGUGCGAGCGUUAUCCGGAUUUAUUGGGUUUAAAGGGUGCGUAGGUUGUUUUUUAAGUCAGCGGUGAAAGUUUGUGGCUCAACCAUAAAAUUGCCGUUGAAACUGGAAGACGUGAGUGUGUUUGAGGUAGGCGGAAUGCGUGGUGUAGCGGUGAAAUGCAUAGAUAUCACGCAGAACUCCGAUUGCGAAGGCAGCUUACUAAGCCAUAACUGACACUGAAGCACGAAAGCGUGGGGAUCAAACAGGAUUAGAUACCCUUGUAGUC
Molecule: ribosomal RNA, 460 nt
Filed under: uncultured bacterium
Lineage: Bacteria
Description: partial 16S ribosomal RNA
Rfam family: Bacterial small subunit ribosomal RNA
Source: RNAcentral